RNAcentral lists this ribosomal RNA (454 nucleotides) under uncultured Lachnospiraceae bacterium. RNAcentral describes it as "partial 16S ribosomal RNA". Lineage: Bacteria; Bacillati; Bacillota; Clostridia; Lachnospirales; Lachnospiraceae. The record is from RNAcentral.
CACGUAGUUAGCCGGGGCUUCUUAGUCAGGUACCGUCAUUUUCUUCCCUGCUGAUAGAGCUUUACAUACCGAAAUACUUCUUCACUCACGCGGCGUCGCUGCAUCAGGGUUUCCCCCAUUGUGCAAUAUUCCCCACUGCUGCCUCCCGUAGGAGUUUGGGCCGUGUCUCAGUCCCAAUGUGGCCGUUCACCCUCUCAGGUCGGCUACUGAUCGUCGCUUUGGGUAGGCCGUUACCCUGCCAACUGGCUAAUCAGACGCGGGUCCAUCUCACACCGAUAAAUCUUUUCCGUCAGUAUCAUGCGAUACCAGCGGGUUAUGCGGUAUUAGCGGUCGUUUCCGAACUGUUACUCCCCCUGUGUGAGGCAGGUUACCCACGUCCGUUACUCACCCGUCCGCCACUCAGUCACAAAGCUUACAUCCGAAGAUCGUUCUUAAGUGCUUUCGUUCGACUUGC